This 76-nucleotide transfer RNA is filed under the name bacterium. RNAcentral describes it as "tRNA-Phe". It matches the Rfam family "tRNA". Rfam says of the family: Transfer RNA (tRNA) molecules are approximately 80 nucleotides in length. The record is from RNAcentral. RNAcentral also lists the same sequence under 2 other names.
GCCGAGGUAGCUCAGUCGGUAGAGCAGUGGACUGAAAAUCCGCGUGUCGGCGGUUCGAUUCCGUCCCUCGGCACCA